AAAUCUUUAAGUUAAACAAGGGGCAAUGUAAAGCAAUGUGCUGAAAGUGGACAAGCAAGCCAGGGGGGUCUCUCUGCCCCUCGGGGAUGUGGGCAGCCCCUCAAUCCUCGGGAGACCACAUGGGGAAUAUGUGAUGCAGGGAUGCCUGACAUACAAAAAAAUGACAGAAUGUGCUAGGCUCAGUCCAUAUUUAAAAUGUUGGUAAAGCUUAAUUUUUUUUUCCUUUUUCACUUCUUCUUUUUUAUUUUUUAGAAAAAAAAAACCUAAAUAAUUUUCUUUUUGCAAGCAGUAGAUUAUCUUGUGUACUCUCUAGUGUAUAGUGGGCCACUUAUUUCAGAGGCCACUGAUCUAGUGGGAAGAGUACUAGCCACUUAGAGGGAAAUUCCUCAUAAGCCUGCCAAGAGAAUGGUCUGUAAACUAAAAAGCCACAGCAGUGAAAUAAAUGAUUAUUACUGUUCAGGAAGAUCUAUCUACCUGUGUCACUUAAAUUAUCUUAACCUAAGUCCAUUGCCUUUUUGUGCACUCUCAAAUUAAUCCCCAAUUCCCUAGAGAAUCAGAAUUGCGAUAACCUGAUAGACGAAACUUACCAAAGGGUAUCUGAAACCCUGAGUAGAUGACUGCUUUGUAGCCUUUUCCAUGAACCCCGAGAACCACCUCCUGAGGUCACAGACACCACACCCCUGCCCCCCAGACAUCUUCUCUUCUGCCCCAGGAGUCAAGCCCCACUGAGCCCUGAGCACAGCCCGCUCAGUGGGAACUGCCAUGUACUCCUUCUGACCUCAUCUAGAAUAUUGUAGAAUUAGAUGACCAACCCUGGUUCACAGUGGGCUCCACUCCCAUCAUUUCAGCCUGAACCCACAGAGGCCCUAGUCCUUGUCAAGAAGUCCAAAUUUCUCAUGACUCCAGAGGCAUAAAGAUUCCCACAAAGCAGCCCUGAUUCUUAGAGUGUCUCUUUUAUUAGCAACAAUGGAAACAUUCUCCUUUAUGUUUGCCAGUACAGAUAAAGUCCUGUUGAACAAAGAGUCCUCUUGAACAAACCAGAUCUGCCUCUAGGUUUUGCCAGGGCUGUCUCCUCAGCACAACUCUUCAGACCAAAGAGGAAAGAACAUAUAUGGAGUGGUUCCUAUAUGCCAGACUUCUCCAUCUGGUCUGUAUUUGAAGAUUCCUUGUAGACAACUGUGUUCUUGUCACCCCUGAGAACCUGGUCACGGCCAGGGGUCUGAAUAGAUGGGGACUCACCAUUUACCUGCCAGAUCUGAAAUGACCAGGUCAGCCAUAUCUGUCCUGCAGAGAAUGCUGUUGCCUCAGGAAAAUUCAACAAUUGGCCCCCAACUCAGACAUCAUGAGGCUGAACUGUUAUCCAAACUGGAAAGGAGAGAGAGACAGACAGACAGACAGGCAGAGAGGUAUUUGAAGGUGAUAGGAGACCAGAAAACAGGUCAAGGUGAAAUUCACUAACUAUAGUUUAAUGACGCUAGCAACUUGCCUGGCCACAUUAGCAAAGGAACGGAAGUCUCCUGAAUUCUAAUCUUUCUAAAAUUAGCCAACACAGCCACUAUGAUGGAAAGAACCAUUCAUUUCAUUUCGUAAACCUGCCCUGGGCAGAAUUAUAAGUGAGCAAAGACAAGUUCAUGCCAACUUUUAUCUCUGCUACUAUGACUGACAUGGAAUUUGAAAGGAAGAUCAAGACAAAAGGUGAGGCUCCAAGCAAAGCAAUGUAAUACAUUCAUAUUAAAGACAGAGACACUUUCUUGUGGCUGCCCAACUGCCUACAUAAUUCAGGAAGUUCUUCUACAUUCAAUAAAACUAAUAAAAAGUUUAAGUUUUUUUUUUUUUCCAGAUGAUAUUUAAAGUACCUUUCAAAUCCGAUUAGCCAAACCCUUGUCAUGACUGAAAAGGUCUUCAGACUGAACAUGUACACAGUCCAGCUCUGGUGGGUGUUACUCCGAGGGACCUGUCACUGAAGAGGCCCUAGGCUUCCUAGAGCCACAGGAGUGCCACAGCCCCUGGCAUCAGCCACCUGCCCUGUAAAGGAAAGUAUCUGAAGUCCUAUGUCCUCUGUAUCUGAAGUCCUAUGUCCUCUGGGCUAAAGCCUUGAAGCUCUUCUAGGAGGCAUAACCCAGAUGAACCCUGAGUCAAAGCACUUUCAAGCUACUGGGACAUAGCUGCCCACAAACAGACAGGACGCGCCAGCUGCCCUGCUAUGUAAAUGGACGUAACACGGAACUAAAUGCUUCCUAAGAGGUCAUAUUUUCUAUAAGUAAAUGAUGAAAGAGAAGUACAAAUGUGUGCUGAGGCUGUGAGGGAAAAAAAUGCUAUACACUUGUACUAAAGUAAAACUUGUACUGGGCUAAUGCUUUCCCUAAAUGCAAGACCACUUGGGGAAGAAAAGGAAUAUGUGAACCUAUAGGUUAUUGGAGAACUCUUGAAUGUUUAAACAAAUUAAAACAAAACAGUAUCUCGAGCCAUCACAAGAUAUAAGAUAAAAUGAUGAAAGACUUGAAACAA
This is a long non-coding RNA of Leopardus geoffroyi (Geoffroy's cat), 2508 nucleotides long. RefSeq lists it as uncharacterized. The record is from RefSeq and is a predicted model, not a curated record. The transcript is spliced from 4 exons. Lineage: Eukaryota; Metazoa; Chordata; Mammalia; Carnivora; Felidae.